Molecule: small RNA, 67 nt
Filed under: Ureibacillus manganicus DSM 26584
Lineage: Bacteria; Bacillati; Bacillota; Bacilli; Caryophanales; Caryophanaceae
Description: Lysinibacillus manganicus DSM 26584 Bacillaceae-1 RNA
Rfam family: Bacillaceae-1 RNA
Source: Rfam by way of RNAcentral
AGUAGAUGAUCUUAGACUAACAACGCCACGUCCUGUGGCAACGUCUAAGUGACCAACAUCCUGUUGG